GGCCCCCCAAAGGCCCACCUGGGGGUCCAGAUCCCACUAGCGCCACCAAGGCCCACCUCGGGAUCCAUCCCCGGCCCCACAACCCUUCUUAUAUUUCAUACUAUUUUUUUUAUAAUCUGCUUCAAUGCACUCUGUCUCGGACCCCAUACCCCUAUAAUAAUGUUAGAAUAAGGGGCGGCCCAAAAGCGGAAUUGACCAGUAUCACUUUCUCCCCACUCCUUUCUCUCUAGAUUAUUCUACCAUUACCAGAAAAUUCAAAAUAUUCAGACUAAAAAAUGCAAAUCUGUUGUUACACAUGCAACACUCAAAUAUACUCAUCUACAAAUACUCCUACAGUCACUUCGAUUAAGACUUUGUUAAAAUAAGUUUAUAUAGUCACUUUGAUAAAGACUUUGUUGAAUUGACUUAUUUAGGUAUUUUUGACAACAAAAUAAACUAGAUAAGACUGACAAAUUACCUUAUUUAGGUUGUAAUGAACGGAUGUUGCACACAAAUAACCUUUUUAAUGUUAACUUAUGCCAGAAAAUUAGAGAUGUAUAUUACUCAAGUUGGUAAUUUAAACUCCAAUUAAUCGAAAAUCACCCUUUAUAGCCAUUCCAGUCACCAAUUUGUUUAAAUUGGUUGCUAAUCGUCGAUAUUAAUCUGUGGAUCUGAUCUGUGCAUAAGGUAAACAGAGAAAUCGAACACUCUGUUGACCAACUUAAGGAUGACAACAGGGAUGUUUGCUCCGUAGGGGUGGCAAUUUCAAUUUACAGGUCGAUUUCUGGUCAAGCUAAAAUUACUUAAAAUUGCAUGAAAUUUAAUAUGUAAGUUUAAGGGAAUGAAUUUCAAUUUUAUGUCACUUUUGGGUUGACCAGGUCAGUUCCGAGUUUUUUCUCAGAGAAUCAAAACUGUGAAUCUGGUCAGGCUAUGGUCAUGGCUGAUAUCGCUACCACUUAGUUCAUAAAAGAGGUGUGCACUUUAAUAUCAGGAGGUGUGCACUAUAAUAUUAGGAAGAUAAAAAGUUAAAUUGUACACUUUAAUAAAAAUGUGUGGGUGAGAUUUGUUUAAGCAUAUACAAAGUAAGUGGAUAUUAGUUAUCAGUUCUCACCAUUUUUGGUUCUCACUUCAGCACCAACCAGACUAGCUAAUUAUAUUUACUUAUUACAGGGUAUAAGUAGUCAUGUAAAUCAAAGCAAAUGACACAUUAUGCUUUAGUAUAUCGACAGCUUGAAGAAACAAACCUUUUUCAUGGAGGACAUAAAGGACUUGUUUACUAUGCCAGCCUGUAAACAUAAUUGAAAUAUUCAAGCAGUUACUAAAAAACCAAACAUUCUUUCCUACAAAGGUGAAUUGGUAAAGCAUAAUAAGCAAGAUGUUUGACCGUUUCACUAUUCAUAGCCAAGCAACAGACAACUAUAUCAGCAGCUUGUGCGAAUCUGUGGAAAUCUUCCAGGCCACCCUUCUCAUCAACCAGAUCAUCAUGUGUUCCUUGAACAGUAGACAACCAGAUCAUCAGGAGGUGUGCACUAUAAUAUUAGGAAGAUAGAAAGUUAAAUUGUACAGUUUAAUAAAAAUGUGUGGGUGAGAUUUGUUUAAGCUUAUACAAAGUAAGUGGAUAUUUUCUCUUUAUAUGACAUGU
This 1621-nucleotide long non-coding RNA is filed under the name Daucus carota (carrot). RNAcentral's name for it is "long non-coding RNA (DCAR_LNC003375)". The record is from RNAcentral. Lineage: Eukaryota; Viridiplantae; Streptophyta; Magnoliopsida; Apiales; Apiaceae.